RNAcentral lists this ribosomal RNA (461 nucleotides) under uncultured bacterium. RNAcentral describes it as "partial 16S ribosomal RNA". It matches the Rfam family "Bacterial small subunit ribosomal RNA", at positions 28 to 507 of the family's 1533-position model. The record is from RNAcentral.
GAUGAACGCUGACAGAAUGCUUAACACAUGCAAGUCAUUGGCGAAGCUGCGCUUGCGCAGUCUAGCCAAGGCGGACGGGUGAGUAACGCGUAAGGAACUUGCCCUGCAGACAGGGAUACAAACGGAAACGAACGAUUACACCUGGCUUUUUUAGGCUGGUGCAUCGCGGUCUGAAGAAAGGAGACGCUGCAGGAGAGGCUUGCGUCCUUUUUGCUAGUUGGGGGGGUAAAGGCCCAACAAGGCGAUGAUAGGUAGGCGGCCUGAGAGGGUGAACGGCCAAAAGGGGACUGAGAUACGGCACUUACUCCUACGGGAGGCAGCAGUGGGGAAUAUUGGACAAUGGGGGCAACCCUGAUCCAGCAAUUCUGUGUGCACGAAGAAGGUUUUCGGAUUGUAAAGUGCUUUCAGCAGGGAAGAAGAAAGUGACGGUACCUGCAGAAGAAGCGACGGCUAAAUACGUG